AUUGAUCUGUUAUCUUUCUUUUUUAAUCAUUUUUGCACAUUUAUGUAGCCAUACCAUAGAUGACAGUCUUCAUAACUAAGAAUACAUGUGUACAAAGCAACUCCAACAACAGAAUAAACAAACAAACACCUUUUUUUUUUAUGUACUUUACAAAUGGAUGCAUGUAGUAUACAAGUAACUCAGCCUUGCUCCUCUCAAACAACUCCAUAAGAUGAAAUGAUGCAAAGAUGAGAAAGAAAAGGAAAGGUUACUUACCAUUUUUUUCUUUCUCAUUUGUGUGUUGAAAAAAGAAAAGAAAAAAAAAGAACAAAAAGAAUAUCCUAAUCCUAACUGUCUAAAUAAACUAAUGCUGCUAUGUACCUGGCAGGCUGGCACUGGAAUCUUCAUUAGGUCUCUCCAGCUUGGCAAGCCAGGCCCUUCCUCACAACAUACAAAUGACAGGUUGGCUUCAUUUCACUAGCCUACACACACAUAAUCUCACCAACUUCCUUUCCCUCAAAGAGUUAGUGGCAAGAUGACUGAACUGAACCCACCAAAAUUUGGGCUUACUUGGACCCAAAAAAAAAAAAGAAGGGAAAAUAGGCAGACUUUCAUAUCUUGCAGUCCACCAUGACCUCCAAACAGAUCAUAGCAGAAGCCUCCCUCUCCAUCAAGGGACUUCCCAUAUGAAAUAUUUUGCUGAAAAAUUUGGCAUUGCAUUUGAUCUUGUAUGAUUGUAUCAUAUGAAGAAGAAAGUCAGGGUCUCCCAUCUACAACCUGCAUCAGUUUUAAUCAGCUUCCACAAUGCAAUCUGAUAUCUUCUUUGACAUAGUUGAGCACAAUGUCAUUAUAGAGCACCAUCCCCCAUGUUCCUCACUCGGAGUUCUACACUUCUUAGAUCACGAAGAUGAUGUAAAAUCUCUUGC
RNAcentral lists this unclassified non-coding RNA (905 nucleotides) under Hevea brasiliensis (rubber tree). Lineage: Eukaryota; Viridiplantae; Streptophyta; Magnoliopsida; Malpighiales; Euphorbiaceae. The record is from RNAcentral.